AAACCAAACUCUUGAUAUUUUAUGUCUCUCUGAGUAAACUUUUAAAUAAGUCAAAACUUUCAACAACGGAUCUCUUGGUUCUGGCAUCGAUGAAGAACGCAGCGAAAUGCGAUAAGUAAUGUGAAUUGCAGAAUUCAGUGAAUCAUCGAAUCUUUGAACGCACAUUGCGCUCGCCAGUAUUCUGGCGAGCAUGCCUGUUCGAGCGUCAUUUCAACCAUCAAGCUCUGCUUGCGUUGGGGAUCCGCGGCUGCCCGCGGUCCUUCAAAAACAGUGGCGGGCUCGCUAGUCACACCGAGCGUAGUAACUCUACAUCGUUCUGGUCGUGCGGCGGGUUCUUGCCGUAAAACCCCCCAAUUUCUAAGGUUGACCUCGGAUCA
RNAcentral lists this ribosomal RNA (377 nucleotides) under Sordariomycetes sp. genotype 82. RNAcentral describes it as "eukaryotic LSU rRNA". The stretch from base 55 to 208 matches the Rfam family "5.8S ribosomal RNA". The record is from RNAcentral. Lineage: Eukaryota; Fungi; Ascomycota; Sordariomycetes.